RNAcentral lists this ribosomal RNA (536 nucleotides) under Blastobotrys sp. IMBZ21. RNAcentral's name for it is "eukaryotic LSU rRNA". The stretch from base 177 to 330 matches the Rfam family "5.8S ribosomal RNA". Lineage: Eukaryota; Fungi; Ascomycota; Dipodascomycetes; Dipodascales; Trichomonascaceae. The record is from RNAcentral.
UCGUAACAAGGUUUCCGUAGGUGAACCUGCGGAAGGAUCAUUAACGAAUUGAACUUUUGUUCAAAUCCUUCAACACCUGUGAACUAAUUUAUUUUGCUUUGGUCACAUUUUUGUGGCCAAAAGAUCAAACACUUUAAUUUAACCUGAGUCUGAAACUGAAAUAUUGAAUUAAUCAAAACUUUCAACAACGGAUCUCUUGGUUCUCGCAUCGAUGAAGAACGCAGCGAAAUGCGAUACGUAAUGUGAAUUGCAGAAUUUUGUGAAUCAUCGAAUCUUUGAACGCACAUUGCGCCUCUUGGUAUUCCAAGAGGCAUUCCUGUUUGAGAGUCAUUUCUCCUUCAAAUCUAGUAUUUGGUGUUGACCACGCGCUUUGGCGCUAGGUUGAAAUGAAUUGGCAGGCAGAAAUUGUUUGUUCAGUGUCAUAGGUUUAUCCAACUACGCUGGUAAAAUAAUUUUGAGCAGGCCUAAUAACCGUCAAAUUCAAAGUUUGACCUCAAAUCAGGUAAGACUACCCGCUGAACUUAAGCAUAUCAAUA